GCAUGCAUAGUUUGCAUGAGAAACGAGAGACAAAUAGUGGUAGAGAGGAAAAAAAAAAAAAAAAAAGAGAGUGGUAAUAAUAUUCUUGGAGGAGUUAAAGGUCGGAGCUUGUAUUUUCUUAACUUGGAGCUAGUUUUGGAAACGAGGUAGGGGGUUUCUUGGUGACCUUUUACAAAGAUUGAUAUAAUUAAAUUUUAUGAGCUCUAUAUUAUGUGUGAUAUUGUAUAAUGUUCUUGAUAUAGGAUAUUUACGUAUUGUGAACUAUUUGAAUAAUGUUGGCAUACUUAUAUCAUGUCAUGGUAAUUGGUUGGUGUUGUUGGAUUGAGAAAAUAAUGAUGGAAAAGAGGGUAAUGGAUAAGGAUUUUUGUGUAGUUGAGUCUAACCAUUGUAGGGACCAAGUCCAGGCGAGCACAUGUGCACAGUAGACUAGGAAAUCGGCGGUAUAAUUAUCGAUUGGGUGAUUUAGGCUUGGAGAUCAAUGGUAUAGACAAGAUAACUAGCAAAAGGGGAAUUAUGAGAUAACUAUGAUGUGUGUUAGUUUAUAUAAUGGGGCAUUUGAAAUCACGGUAAAAUGCAUGGUAUGGGACAUGCAUAUUUGAUUACCAUAUUAUAUACAUUAACAGGUUGGGUAGAAUUGAAGAGCAUUCAUGCAUUAUUAUUAUUAAUGUGAUAUUAUUUGGUUGUGUGAUUGCAUGUCACUUAAUUUAGUUCUAUCAAUCUAUUGUGGUAAGGUCUCAUGUCCCUACUGAGUUUUAUUUAUUUCUUGUAAACUUGUAAGAUUUCGAAUCUAUUUUUCUAUAAGAGAAGUUUAUUUUAAACCCUGUUUCGGUCUCUUUUCUUUUUAUUUUAUUUUUUAUUUUUUCACGCCCGAGCUCAGAGAUUCCAUCGACCUCCAAGUCUAGCGAUGACAGAAGAUCAAAAGUUGAAGAAUCCACAAGUGAAUAUUCUUCCGUGAGAAUAUUUGCUCGUAGUUUUGGCCUGUUCUUCUUUUGGAUCUAGGUUGCUUCAAUGGCGUGAAGUGAAGGGGCUGAAGAAAAAGAUGAGCCGAACACGUUAAAACAACGAAAUUUUGAAAUUGAAUUUUAUACAAAAUAAUUAUAAAAAUCAAAGUUUCUUACAGAUUAUUUUGCCUUGGCUAGAUGGAGAGAAUGUGUGGCAGUGAUGUCGGAUGGUAGAUCCAUGAAGAGAUAGAGAGCAGUAAACUGGAUCUAUGGAGAAAAGAUCACCUCAUCUCCCAAUACACAAGACAAGAACCAAAGUCACUGUCAGAAACCAACCCACCAACAUCUUAAUUGAAGUUGUGAUAACGUGAGAAGGUGGUGAGAAUAUGAGAGAAGAGGAAAAAAAAUACUUGAAGAAAAACAUGCGAGAGGAGCACACAUGGAGGAAAAUAAAGUCAAGAAAGGAGAACUUAGAUUAGAAGAUGGAUCAAGUUUUGGGGAAAGAAAGAUAAAGCAACGAGAAAGUGGACUUGUCUAGGAGACUGCACCAAUAUCUGUUUUGAAAUUCAUUGCAUUUCAAGAUCUCUCUUCUGUUUUUUUAUAAUCUCUACAAAGUAUUUAAAAUAUCUCUUUUUAUUAGCUG
Molecule: long non-coding RNA, 1584 nt
Filed under: Prunus persica (peach)
Lineage: Eukaryota; Viridiplantae; Streptophyta; Magnoliopsida; Rosales; Rosaceae
Description: long non-coding RNA (PPER_LNC001489)
Source: RNAcentral